This 82-nucleotide transfer RNA is filed under the name Actinomycetes bacterium. RNAcentral's name for it is "tRNA-OTHER". The record is from RNAcentral. Lineage: Bacteria; Bacillati; Actinomycetota; Actinomycetes.
CGGCAUCGGGGUGCCCGGUGCGCAGACGACGGAUACUUCUCCUCCUAAGAGAAAGACCCGGGUUCGAAUCCCGGCCCGCCGA